This 72-nucleotide transfer RNA is filed under the name Pristionchus pacificus. It matches the Rfam family "tRNA". From Rfam's summary of the family: Transfer RNA (tRNA) molecules are approximately 80 nucleotides in length. Their secondary structure includes four short double-helical elements and three loops (D, anti-codon, and T loops). Lineage: Eukaryota; Metazoa; Nematoda; Chromadorea; Rhabditida; Neodiplogasteridae. The record is from Rfam by way of RNAcentral.
GGGGGUAUAGCUCAGUGGUAGAGCACCCGCAUACGUAUCGGAAGGUCGGGGGUUCGACUCCCUCUGCUUCCA